RNAcentral lists this ribosomal RNA (471 nucleotides) under uncultured bacterium. Its description in RNAcentral is "bacterial SSU rRNA". It matches the Rfam family "Bacterial small subunit ribosomal RNA", at positions 67 to 543 of the family's 1533-position model. The record is from RNAcentral.
UUAGGAUUGAAGUUUUCGGAUGGAUUUCCUAUAUGACUGAGUGGCGGACGGGUGAGUAACGCGUGGGGAACCUGCCCUAUACAGGGGGAUAACAGCUGGAAACGGCUGCUAAUACCGCAUAAGCGCACAGAAUCGCAUGAUUCAGUGUGAAAAGCCCUGGCAGUAUAGGAUGGUCCCGCGUCUGAUUAGCUGGUUGGUGAGGUAACGGCUCACCAAGGCGACGAUCAGUAGCCGGCUUGAGAGAGUGAACGGCCACAUUGGGACUGAGACACGGCCCAAACUCCUACGGGAGGCAGCAGUGGGGAAUAUUGCACAAUGGGGGAAACCCUGAUGCAGCGACGCCGCGUGAGUGAAGAAGUAUUUCGGUAUGUAAAGCUCUAUCAGCAGGGAAGAAAACAGACGGUACCUGACUAAGAAGCCCCGGCUAACUACGUGCCAGCAGCCGCGGUAAUACGUAGGGGGCAAGCGUUA